This 88-nucleotide transfer RNA is filed under the name Candidatus Saccharibacteria bacterium QS_5_54_17. Its description in RNAcentral is "tRNA-Leu". It matches the Rfam family "tRNA". Rfam says of the family: Transfer RNA (tRNA) molecules are approximately 80 nucleotides in length. Their secondary structure includes four short double-helical elements and three loops (D, anti-codon, and T loops). Lineage: Bacteria; Candidatus Saccharimonadota. The record is from RNAcentral.
GCCGCGGUGGCGGAAUCGGCAGACGCGCUAGCAUGAGGGGCUAGUGGGCUAUAUGCCCGUGGAGGUUCAAGUCCUCUCCGCGGCACCA